RNAcentral lists this ribosomal RNA (468 nucleotides) under uncultured bacterium. Its description in RNAcentral is "partial 16S ribosomal RNA". It matches the Rfam family "Bacterial small subunit ribosomal RNA", at positions 28 to 507 of the family's 1533-position model. The record is from RNAcentral.
GACGAACGCUGGCGGCGUGCUUAAUACAUGCAAGUCGAACGGAAAGGCCCUGCUCUUGUGGGGUGCUCGAGUGGCGAACGGGUGAGUAACACGUGAGUAACCUGCCCUUGACUUUGGGAUAACAUCAGGAGACUGGGGCUAAUACCGGGUAGGAGCUCCUGCUGCAUGGUGGGGGAUGGUAAGUUUCGGCGGUUGGGGAUGGACUGGAGGCUUAUCAGCUUGUUGGUGGGGUAGUGGCUUACCAAGGCUUUGACGGGUAGCCGGCAUGAGAGGGGGAACGGCCACAUUGGGACUGAGAUACGGCGCAGACUCCUACGGGAGGCAGCAGUGGGGAAUAUGGCACAACGGGCGGAAGCCUGAUGCAGCAACGCCGCGUGCGGGAUGACGGCCUUCGGGUGGUAAACCGCUUUCGCCUGUGACGAAGCGUGAGUGACGGUAAUGGGUAAAGAAGCACCGGCUAACUACGUG